UAGGGAAUAUUGGACAAUGGGUGAGAGCCUGAUCCAGCCAUGCCGCGUGCAGGAAGAAGGCGUUAUGCGUUGUAAACUGCUUUUGCCAGGGGAUAAAAAGACCGUGCGCGGUUAAUUGAAGGUACCUGGUGAAUAAGCCACGGCUAACUACGUGCCAGCAGCCGCGGUAAUACGUAGGUGGCAAGCGUUGUCCGGAUUUAUUGGGUUUAAAGGGUGCGUAGGUGGCCCUGUAAGUCAGUGGUGAAAUAUCUCAGCUUAACUGAGAGGGUGCCAUUGAUACUGCAGGGCUUGAGUACAGAUGAGGUAGGCGGAAUUGACGGUGUAGCGGUGAAAUGCAUAGAUAUCGUCAAGAACACCGAUAGCGAAGGCAGCUUACCAAGCUGUAACUGACACUGAGGCACGAAAGUGUGGGGAUCAAACAGGAUUAGAUACCCCGGUAGUCCCUGAGCGGGCUGGCAAGGCGCAU
This 466-nucleotide ribosomal RNA is filed under the name uncultured bacterium. Its description in RNAcentral is "bacterial SSU rRNA". It matches the Rfam family "Bacterial small subunit ribosomal RNA", at positions 355 to 825 of the family's 1533-position model. The record is from RNAcentral.